Molecule: ribosomal RNA, 465 nt
Filed under: uncultured bacterium
Lineage: Bacteria
Description: partial 16S ribosomal RNA
Rfam family: Bacterial small subunit ribosomal RNA
Source: RNAcentral
CUACGGGUGGCUCCAGUGAGGAAUUUUGCGCAAUGGGGGGAACCCUGACGCAGCAACGCCGCGUGAGUGACGAAGGCUUUCGGGUCGUAAAGCUCUGUCAAGUGGGAAGAACCUAUGCAGUGUUAAUAUCACUGUAUACUGACGGUACCACUGAAGGAAGCACCGGCUAACUCCGUGCCAGCAGCCGCGGUAAUACGGGGGGUGCAAGCGUUAUUCGGAAUCAUUGGGCGUAAAGGGCACGUAGGCGGCUUGGUAAGUCAGAUGUGAAAGCCCGGGGCUUAACCCCGGAAGUGCAUUUGAUACUGUCAGGCUUGAGUAUGGGAGAGGGAAGUGGAAUUCCUGGUGUAGAGGUGAAAUUCGUAGAUAUCAGGAGGAACACCGGUGGCGAAGGCGACUUCCUGGACCAAUACUGACGCUGAGGUGCGAAGGCGUGGGUAGCAAACAGGAUUAGAUACCCUUGUAGUC